UCCUUUCUUUUCUCACCCAUGCCCUAACCAUUCUCACCGUCAAACCCAUCUCCCUUCUCCCCUCUCAUGUGGCGCCGAGCUCUUCAUCUUCCCCAACUCGUCGACGCUUCUCCUUCCUCACGAAUAAAACCCAUCAGCCAAGGAAAAGCCUUGAGUCUUCUCCCUCGCGUCUCCAUCUUCUUUCUUCUCUGUGCCGACACCCCUACUUCCCCUCUUCACUGAUUUCUUCAACGCCGACACACACCACCAUCGGCUACUCGCGAGGAUUAAACGCGGCCACGAAGGGAGCGGAGGACAACCACUCCCGUGAUCUCCUCGCGCAAAGCAACAUCGACGUCGUGCCUAGCUCUGGAUCCGUUGAUCACUAGGCGCUACCGGUGCCGGAAAGAAGGGGGAAACGACGCAAGGAAGACUAGAGUUACUCUUCCUCUGGCCUAGGACAGAAUCAGAGCACUGGAUGGUGUUGCCCGAGGGCUUGUCAGUAGUAGAUCCCUAGUAGUUCUAUCCACCAUCGCACCAUCUUCCUUCGCUAUAGUUGAAUUGUGGUCACCGACACUGGAUCUCAGUGGUAGCUGGCAUUCCAGGCGGCCAGCAAUCGUCACGACACUACCUCAUCCUGCUGAGCUCCCUCUCCACUGGUCAUAAGGUGUGCUCUGCUGCCUUACUACCAUAUUAUAGGUGCUGAUUUUGGGGCAUUUGAUCGGCUUCAACCUCCUCCAACAGUGGGUCAAGUGGUUGUGCUACGGAUUUAGGUGAGUUUAGGAGUUGAUUCAGGAUGGUUAUAUGGUUUAAUUGAUAUAGAUGGUAGUAGGAUCGUUAAUAGGAUCAUUGAAUUGUUGUGGAUUGAGUUAAAUCUAAUUGGAAUGAUGAAUUUGGUUAAUUAUGUUGAUUAGGGUUUUCCCUAAUUAGAUUGAAAAUUUUAUUUAGCUAUUCGCUACAUAUGUAAUUAAUUAAAUACAUUAUGUGAUAGCAAGACUUUGAAUCGUGA
Zingiber officinale is the source of this 988-nucleotide long non-coding RNA. RefSeq lists it as uncharacterized. NCBI's taxonomy places the organism in Eukaryota, Viridiplantae, Streptophyta, Magnoliopsida, Zingiberales, Zingiberaceae. The transcript is spliced from 2 exons. The record is from RefSeq and is a predicted model, not a curated record.